CCUACGGGAGGCAGCAGUAAGGAAUAUUGGUCAAUGGACGAAGUCUGAACCAGCCAUGCCGCGUGAAGGAUUAAGGCCCUCUGGGUUGUAAACUUCUUUUAUCUGGGACGAAAAAAGGGUAUUCUUACUCACUUGACGGUACCAGAGGAAUAAGCACCGGCUAACUCCGUGCCAGCAGCCGCGGUAAUACGGAGGGUGCAAGCGUUAUCCGGAUUUACUGGGUUUAAAGGGUGCGUAGGUGGGCUUGUAAGUCAGUGGUGAAAUCUCCGGGCUUAACCCGGAAACUGCCAUUGAUACUAUAGGUCUUGAAUUAUCUGGAGGUAAGCGGAAUAUGUCAUGUAGCGGUGAAAUGCUUAGAUAUGACAUAGAACACCAAUUGCGAAGGCAGCUUACUACGGAUAUAUUGACACUGAGGCACGAAAGCGUGGGGAUCAAACAGGAUUAGAUACCCUGGUAGUCCACGCCCUAAACGAUGGAUACUCGACAUCAGCGAUACACUGUUGGUGUCUGAGCGAAAGCAUUAAGUAUCCCACCUGGGAAGUACGAUCGCAAGAUUGAAACUCAAAUGAAAUUGACGGCUGAGAGAGCGAGACGACGACGAGGGAGGAGG
This 610-nucleotide ribosomal RNA is filed under the name uncultured bacterium. RNAcentral's name for it is "bacterial SSU rRNA". It matches the Rfam family "Bacterial small subunit ribosomal RNA", at positions 338 to 948 of the family's 1533-position model. The record is from RNAcentral.